RNAcentral lists this ribosomal RNA (425 nucleotides) under uncultured bacterium. RNAcentral's name for it is "partial 16S ribosomal RNA". It matches the Rfam family "Bacterial small subunit ribosomal RNA", at positions 354 to 796 of the family's 1533-position model. The record is from RNAcentral.
GUGGGGAAUAUUGGACAAUGGGCGAAAGCCUGAUCCAGCAAUGCCGCGUGAGUGAAGAAGGCCUUCGGGUUGUAAAGCUCUUUUACCCGGGAAGAUAAUGACUGUACCGGGAGAAUAAGCCCCGGCUAACUCCGUGCCAGCAGCCGCGGUAAUACGGAGGGGGCUAGCGUUGUUCGGAAUUACUGGGCGUAAAGCGCACGUAGGCGGUCUUUUAAGUCAGAGGUGAAAGCCCGGGGCUCAACUCCGGAAUUGCCUCUGAAACUGGAAGACUUGAACACGGGAGAGGUGAGUGGAAUUCCGAGUGGAGAGGUGAAAUUCGUAGAUAUUCGGAGGAACACCAGUGGCGAAGGCGGCUCACUGGACCGUUGUUGACGCUGAGGUGCGAAAGCGUGGGGAGCAAACAGGAUUAGAAACCCUAGUAGUCC